Molecule: long non-coding RNA, 610 nt
Organism: Sapajus apella (tufted capuchin)
Lineage: Eukaryota; Metazoa; Chordata; Mammalia; Primates; Cebidae
Exons: 4
Source: RefSeq, a predicted model, not a curated record
GGAUGGUGGUUACAUCUAUUCUCAGGGAAAGAAGGAGCCCUUCUGAAGCCCUUCAGCAGGGUCAGGGCUGAGGCCUGGGGUCAGGGCCCCUCACCUUCUCCCUUUUGCCCAGAGCCAUCUUCCCAGCCCAUCAUCCUGAUCAUGGGCAUCAUUGCUGGCCUGGCUGUCCUAGGAUCUGUGAUCACUGGACCUGUGGUCGCUGUUGUGAUGUGGAGGGGGAAGAACUCAGGUGGAAAAAGAGGGAGCUACUCUCAGGCUGCGUGCAGCGACAGUGCCCAGGGCUCUGAUGUGUCUCUCACAGCUUGUAAAGCCUGAGACAGCUUUCUUGUUUUGGGACUAAGAUUCAGGAUUUCUUCACAACUCUCUCUAUGACUUCAAGAGCCUCUGGCAUCACUUUCUGCAAAAACAUCUGAAUUUGUCUGCAUUCCUGUUAGCAUAAUGUGAGGAGGUGAAGAAACAGCCCAGCCGUGUCCACCGUGACCGCUGUCCCCACGCUGAACCUAUGUUCCCUCCCUAGUCAUCUUUCCUGUUCCAGAGAGGUGGGGCUGGGCAUCUCCAUCUCUGUCUCAACUUCAUGGUGCACUGAGCUGCAACUUCUUACUUCCCUACU